Non-coding RNA from Callithrix jacchus (white-tufted-ear marmoset), 46 nucleotides. NCBI's taxonomy places the organism in Eukaryota, Metazoa, Chordata, Mammalia, Primates, Cebidae. The record is from Rfam.
CUCUCGGUCUUAUUCGAGACCAUAUAUUAUCAUAUCAAAAAUUUAU